AUUGAACGCUGGCGGCAUGCCUUACACAUACAAGUCGAACGGCAGCACGGGAGCAAUCCUGGUGGCGAGUGGCGAACGGGUGAGUAAUAUAUCGGAACGUGCCCAGUCGUGGGGGAUAACGUAGCGAAAGCUACGCUAAUACCGCAUACGAUCUAUGGAUGAAAGCGGGGGAUCGCAAGACCUCGCGCGAUUGGAGCGGCCGAUAUCAGAUUAGGUAGUUGGUGAGGUAAAGGCUCACCAAGCCGACGAUCUGUAGCUGGUCUGAGAGGACGACCAGCCACACUGGGACUGAGACACGGCCCAGACUCCUACGGGAGGCAGCAGUGGGGAA
Molecule: ribosomal RNA, 331 nt
Filed under: uncultured bacterium
Lineage: Bacteria
Description: bacterial SSU rRNA
Rfam family: Bacterial small subunit ribosomal RNA
Source: RNAcentral